GAUCCUGGCUCAGAUUGAACGCUGGCGGCAUGCUUUACACAUGCAAGUCGAACGGCAGCACAGGGAGCUUGCUCCCGGGUGGCGAGUGGCGCACGGGUGAGUAAUACAUCGGAACGUGUCCUGUUGUGGGGGAUAACUGCUCGAAAGGGUGGCUAAUACCGCACUGAGACCUGAGGGUGAAAGCGGGGAUCGCAAGACCUCGCGCAAUUGGGAGCAGCCGAUGCCCGAUUAG
This 232-nucleotide ribosomal RNA is filed under the name uncultured bacterium. RNAcentral's name for it is "partial 16S ribosomal RNA". It matches the Rfam family "Bacterial small subunit ribosomal RNA", at positions 15 to 244 of the family's 1533-position model. The record is from RNAcentral.